AGUUUGAUCCUGGCUCAGGACGAACGCUGGCGGCGUGCUUAACACAUGCAAGUCGAACGGUGAUGUCAGAGCUUGCUCUGGCGGAUCAGUGGCGAACGGGUGAGUAACACGUGAGUAACCUGCCCCCGACUCUGGGAUAACUGCUAGAAAUGGUAGCUAAUACCGGAUAUGACGAUUGGCCGCAUGGUCUGGUCGUGGAAAGAAUUUCGGUUGGGGAUGGACUCGCGGCCUAUCAGGUUGUUGGUGAGGUAAUGGCUCACCAAGCCUACGACGGGUAGCCGGCCUGAGAGGGUGACCGGCCACACUGGGACUGAGACACGGCCCAGACUCCUACGGGAGGCAGCAGUGGGGAAUAUUGCACAAUGGGCGCAAGCCUGAUGCAGCAACGCCGCGUGAGGGAUGACGGCCUUCGGGUUGUAAACCUCUUUUAGUAGGGAAG
Molecule: ribosomal RNA, 439 nt
Filed under: Clavibacter michiganensis subsp. michiganensis
Lineage: Bacteria; Bacillati; Actinomycetota; Actinomycetes; Micrococcales; Microbacteriaceae
Description: bacterial SSU rRNA
Rfam family: Bacterial small subunit ribosomal RNA
Source: RNAcentral